UCGGAAUAUAUUUGGAAGUUUCCUGGCAUAUGGAGCAAUCAUGCCUUCUUUGUGUGGAAGGUUUAUAUAGUGGACUCUUUCCUUGAUUCAUGCACGCAAAAUAUAGCUUUACAAGCUGAUCAAAGUUUGGGAUUUGAUCAACUUGUAAAUAUAGUGAAGAAAAAACUUGAAUCUCAGCUUCAAGAAAAUGUUGAGCAGUACUUGAAAGAGAAAGUUGUGCCUG
Molecule: unclassified non-coding RNA, 223 nt
Filed under: Hevea brasiliensis (rubber tree)
Lineage: Eukaryota; Viridiplantae; Streptophyta; Magnoliopsida; Malpighiales; Euphorbiaceae
Source: RNAcentral